GAUGAACGCUGGCGGCGUGCCUAAUACAUGCAAGUCGAGCGAACAGACGAGGAGCUUGCUCCUCUGACGUUAGCGGCGGACGGGUGAGUAACACGUGGAUAACCUACCUAUAAGACUGGGAUAACUUCGGGAAACCGGAGCUAAUACCGGAUAAUAUAUUGAACCGCAUGGUUCAAUAGUGAAAGACGGUUUUGCUGUCACUUAUAGAUGGAUCCGCGCCGCAUUAGCUAGUUGGUAAGGUAACGGCUUACCAAGGCGAUGAUGCGUAGCCGACCUGAGAGGGUGAUCGGCCACACUGGAACUGAGACACGGUCCAGACUCCUACGGGAGGCAGCAGUAGGGAAUCUUCCGCAAUGGGCGAAAGCUUGACGGAGCAACGCCGCGUGAGUGAUGAAGGUCUUCGGAUCGUAAAACUCUGUUAUUAGGGAAGAACAAAUGUGUAAGUAACUAUGCACGUCUUGACGGUACCUAAUCAGAAAGCCACGGCUAACUACGUG
This 497-nucleotide ribosomal RNA is filed under the name uncultured bacterium. RNAcentral's name for it is "partial 16S ribosomal RNA". It matches the Rfam family "Bacterial small subunit ribosomal RNA", at positions 28 to 507 of the family's 1533-position model. The record is from RNAcentral.